This 327-nucleotide ribosomal RNA is filed under the name uncultured eukaryote. RNAcentral's name for it is "partial 18S ribosomal RNA". It matches the Rfam family "Eukaryotic small subunit ribosomal RNA", at positions 1470 to 1796 of the family's 1831-position model. The record is from RNAcentral.
CCCUUAGAUGUUCUGGGCUGCACGCGCGCUACACUGAAGCGUUCAACGAGUAUUUCACCUUGCCCGGGAGGGUUGGGUAAUCUUUUUAAAACGCUUCGUGAUGGGGAUAGAUUAUUGCAAUUAUUAAUCUUCAACGAGGAAUUCCUAGUAAGCGCGAGUCAUCAGCUCGUGCUGAUUACGUCCCUGCCCUUUGUACACACCGCCCGUCGCUCCUAUCGAUUGAGUGAUCCGGUGAAUAAUUCGGACUGCAGCAGUGCUUGGUCCUCCGGGCUUUGCAGCGGAAAGUUUAGUGAACCUUAUCACUUAGAGGAAGGAGAAGUCGUAACA